RNAcentral lists this ribosomal RNA (482 nucleotides) under uncultured bacterium. Its description in RNAcentral is "partial 16S ribosomal RNA". It matches the Rfam family "Bacterial small subunit ribosomal RNA", at positions 28 to 507 of the family's 1533-position model. The record is from RNAcentral.
GACGAACGCUGGCGGCGUGCUUAACACAUGCAAGUCGAACGCUGAAGCUCAGCUUUUGUUGGGUGGAUGAGUGGCGAACGGGUGAGUAACACGUGAGUAACCUGCCUCCUUCUUUGGGAUAACGCCCGGAAACGGGUGCUAAUACUGGAUAUUCACUGGUCUUCGCAUGGGGGUUGGUGGAAAGGGUUUUUCUGGUGGGGGAUGGGCUCGCGGCCUAUCAGCUUGUUGGUGGGGUGAUGGCCUACCAAGGCUUUGACGGGUAGCCGGCCUGAGAGGGUGACCGGUCACAUUGGGACUGAGAUACGGCCCAGACUCCUACGGGAGGCAGCAGUGGGGAAUAUUGCACAAUGGGCGCAAGCCUGAUGCAGCGACGCCGCGUGAGGGAUGGAGGCCUUCGGGUUGUGAACCUCUUUCGCUCAUGGUCAAGCCGCAACAAUGGUUGUGGUGAGGGUAGUGGGUAAAGAGCGCCGGCUAACUACGUG